CGAUACCUGGUGUUGAUUCUGGCUGAGAUUGAGGCAGGAAAAUAAACAAUUGUUGCCUGUCACAGCCAAUAUUGAUACCCGGCGUUG
This 87-nucleotide microRNA precursor is filed under the name Schistosoma mansoni. RNAcentral describes it as "microRNA sma-mir-2f precursor". Its record names the gene sma-mir-2f. The record is from miRBase by way of RNAcentral. Lineage: Eukaryota; Metazoa; Platyhelminthes; Trematoda; Strigeidida; Schistosomatidae.